This is a long non-coding RNA of Ipomoea nil (Japanese morning glory), 142 nucleotides long. RefSeq lists it as uncharacterized. The record is from RefSeq and is a predicted model, not a curated record. The transcript has 2 exons. NCBI's taxonomy places the organism in Eukaryota, Viridiplantae, Streptophyta, Magnoliopsida, Solanales, Convolvulaceae.
AUGUUUUGUGGGCAUGCCAAUGCAAUUUCUAUCAAGAGAUAUAGAUUAAUUGUUGAGCUAUUUGAUGGGACAGAUAGAAUUGAAGCAACAAUGUUUAAUCGUCAUGUGGAUAAGUUAUUUUCUUUAACCGAAACAGAGAAUG